AGUGACUGAGACUGAAAAGCUGGUAUGAACUCUAUCUAUUUUGUUUUUGUAAAUAUGACUAGCUUGUCGACCCAGAUUUAGCUUUGUUGUGAGAGAACCAUGUUUGCAAUGACAACUUAGAGAUCAUAGUUUCUGAUGCCAUGCUUAUUUAGCUCAGAGCUUAUAAUGGUUUGUCUUGACUGCCAACAUAGAUUUUUAGAUGACUAUGAUGUAGUAUGAUAGGAUGGUAUUCUCCUUUGAAUGUUUCAAGAGGCUUGACUUGGCGCAUGUUCAUGCAUGUAGUUGAAACAAAAUCAACAUAGACUCUAUGAUGUUCGUGUUCAUGGUGAUUUAUAUCCUGUUCAUGCUUGCAUUCAAUGUUAGUCAAACUCAUUGCAUCUUGAUGACUGUUGUCGCUCUCUAGUUGGUCGCUUCCCAGUCUUUUGCUAGCCUUCACUUGUACUAAGCGGGAAUACUACUUGUGCAUCCACUUCCACAAACCCAAUAGUUUUUCCAUGAGAGUCCACCAUACCUACCUAUUUUCGGUAUCUACCUGCCGUUCCAAGUAAAUUUGCAUGUGCCAUUCUCUAAACCUUCAAGAAAUAAUUUGUUUUGCAUGCCCGAAUCGCUCAUGUGGUGACAGAGGGCUAUUGGUAUCUUCCAUGCUAGGAGUGUUAUCCUCGACAUGUGUUUAUUCACAGUCAUUCACGAGAAAGGGGCCGGUAUUUGGGAUGCCCAGUUCCGCGCUUAAA
RNAcentral lists this long non-coding RNA (731 nucleotides) under Hordeum vulgare. RNAcentral describes it as "long non-coding RNA (HVUL_LNC007423)". The record is from RNAcentral. Lineage: Eukaryota; Viridiplantae; Streptophyta; Magnoliopsida; Poales; Poaceae.